GACGGGUAACGGAGAAUUAGGGUUCGAUUCCGGAGAGGGAGCCUGAGAAACGGCUACCACAUCUAAGGAUGGCAGCAGGCGCGCAAAUUACCCAAUCCUAACUCAGGGAGGUAGUGACAAGAAAUAACAACUUCGGGCUUGCCCGAGAUUGGAAUGAGUACAACGUACAAUCUUUAACGAGUACCAACUGGAGGGCAAGUCUGGUGCCAGCAGCCGCGGUAAUUCCAGCUCCAGUAGCGUAUACUAAAGUUGUUGCAGUUAAAAAGCUCGUAGUUGAAUUUCUGUGUAGUGUACUUGCGGUCUCCGGACCAAUAUAUACUGCACAUCCAUCUGAACAGCACUUCUUGUCAUUCAUUUGUCGGUUGUGUGAUCAGAUACUUUACCUUGAGAAAAAUAGAGUGUUCCAAGCAGGCGUCCGCCUGAAUAAUAAAGCAUGGAAUAAUACAAUAGGACUGGGUUCUAUUGGUGCAUAGAACUUAGUAAUGAUUAAUAGGGACAGUUGGGGGCAUUUGUAUUUAAUUGUCGAGGUGAAAUUCUUUGAUUUAUUAAAGACAAACCUAUGCGAAAGCAUUUGCCAAGGAUGUUUUCAUUAAUCAAGAACGAAAGUUAAGGGAUCGAAGACGAUCAGAUACCGUCGUAGUCUUAACCAUAAACUAUGCCGACUAGAGAUUGGAGGUGCAAUCUCAAUACUCCUUCAGCAUCUUAGGAGAAAUCAAAGUCUUUGGGUUCUGGGGGUAGUAUGGUCGCAAGACUGAAACUUAAAGGAAUUGACGGAAGGGCACCACAAGGUGUGGAGCCUGCGGCUUAAUUUGACCCAACACGGGGAAACUUACCAGGUCCAGACAUGGGAAGGAUUGACAGAUUGGAGAUCUUUCUUGAUUCCAUGGAUGGUGGUGCAUGGCCGUUCUUAGUUGGUGGAGUGAUUUGUCAGGUUAAUUCCGAUAACGAACGAGACCUCAACCUGCUAACUAGUUGCAGCUUCUUUCAAGUUGUAGACUUCUUAGAGGGACUAUAGGAUUUAACCUAAGGAAGUUUGAGGCAAUAACAGGUCUGUGAUGCCCUUAGAUGUCCUGGGCCGCACGCGCGCUACACUGAUGCAGGCACUAAGUCUCCAAUUUCGAAAGAUUUUGGGAACCUUCAAACUGCAUCGUGCUGGGGAUUGACACUUGUAAUUAUUUGUCAUCAACGAGGAAUACCUAGUAAGCGCAAGUCAUCAGCUUGCACUGAUUACGUCCCUGCCCUUUGUACACACCGCCCGUCGCUCCUACCGAUUGGGUGAUGCGGUGAGCCUUUCGGACGGGCGCUUCGGCGCCUGAAAGUUAUGCAAAUCUCAUCACUUAGAGGAAGGAGAAGUCGUAACAAGGUU
Molecule: ribosomal RNA, 1366 nt
Filed under: metagenome
Description: SSU rRNA
Rfam family: Eukaryotic small subunit ribosomal RNA
Source: RNAcentral